GACGUAGGGGGCGAGCGUUGUCCGGAUUUAUUGGGCGUAAAGAGCUCGUAGGCGGCUCAGCAAGUUAGGUGUGAAACCUCCAGGCUUAACCUGGAGACGCCACUUGAUACUGCUGUGGCUGGAGUCCGGUAGGGGAGCAGGGAAUAUCCGGUGUAGCGGUGAAAUGCUUAGAUAUCGUAAGGAAGACCAGUGGCGAAGGCGAAUCUCUGGACAGUUACUGACACUGAGGCACGAAGGCCAGGGGAGCAAACGGG
RNAcentral lists this ribosomal RNA (254 nucleotides) under uncultured bacterium. Its description in RNAcentral is "partial 16S ribosomal RNA". It matches the Rfam family "Bacterial small subunit ribosomal RNA", at positions 524 to 776 of the family's 1533-position model. The record is from RNAcentral.